GACGAACGCUGGCGGCGUGCCUAAUACAUGCGAGUUGAGCGCUGAAGGUUGGUACUUGUACCAACUGGAUGAGCAGCGAACGGGUGAGUAACGCGUGGGGAAUCUGCCUUUGAGCGGGGGACAACAUUUGGAAACGAAUGCUAAUACCGCAUAAAAACUUUAAACACAAGUUUUAAGUUUGAAAGAUGCAAUUGCAUCGCUCAAAGAUGAUCCCGCGUUGUAUUAGCUAGUUGGUGAGGUAAAGGCUCACCAAGGCGAUGAUACAUAGCCGACCUGAGAGGGUGAUCGGCCACAUUGGGACGGAGACACGGCCCAAACUCCUACGGGAGGCAGCAGUAGGGAAUCUUCGGCAAUGGACGAAAGUCUGACCGAGCAACGCCGCGUGAGUGAAGAAGGUUUUCGGAUCGUAAAACUCUGUUGGUAGAGAAGAACGUUGGUGAGAGUGGAAAGCUCAUCAAGUGACGGUAACUACCCAGAAAGGGACGGCUAACUACGUG
RNAcentral lists this ribosomal RNA (497 nucleotides) under uncultured bacterium. RNAcentral describes it as "partial 16S ribosomal RNA". It matches the Rfam family "Bacterial small subunit ribosomal RNA", at positions 28 to 507 of the family's 1533-position model. The record is from RNAcentral.